This 545-nucleotide ribosomal RNA is filed under the name Sphingomonas sp. RNAcentral's name for it is "bacterial SSU rRNA". It matches the Rfam family "Bacterial small subunit ribosomal RNA", at positions 53 to 644 of the family's 1533-position model. The record is from RNAcentral. Lineage: Bacteria; Pseudomonadati; Pseudomonadota; Alphaproteobacteria; Sphingomonadales; Sphingomonadaceae.
ACAUGCAAGUCGAACGAAGGCUUCGGCCUUAGUGGCGCACGGGUGCGUAACGCGUGGGAAUCUGCCCCUCGGUUCGGAAUAACAGUUAGAAAUGACUGCUAAUACCGGAUGAUGACGUAAGUCCAAAGAUUUAUCGCCGAGGGAUGAGCCCGCGUAGGAUUAGCUAGUUGGUGUGGUAAGAGCGCACCAAGGCGACGAUCCUUAGCUGGUCUGAGAGGAUGAUCAGCCACACUGGGACUGAGACACGGCCCAGACUCCUACGGGAGGCAGCAGUGGGGAAUAUUGGACAAUGGGCGAAAGCCUGAUCCAGCAAUGCCGCGUGAGUGAUGAAGGCCUUAGGGUUGUAAAGCUCUUUUACCCGGGAUGAUAAUGACAGUACCGGGAGAAUAAGCUCCGGCUAACUCCGUGCCAGCAGCCGCGGUAAUACGGAGGGAGCUAGCGUUAUUCGGAAUUACUGGGCGUAAAGCGCACGUAGGCGGCUUUGUAAGUAAGAGGUGAAAGCCCAGAGCUCAACUCUGGAAUUGCCUUUUAGACUGCAUCGCUUG